CAAAUCCUCCGCUGAAUCUAGUAUGAAAAGGAAAACAUUGUGGGUGGUUUAAGAGUAUGCAAUUCAAUUAAAAUGACCAUUACUAAUUUUUCAGUACCAGAUUUUCAACUGGAUUGCCACUGUGGUCAAUUCUUGUAACAGCAUUUCCAAAGCCAUCAGCAGGUUUCAUGCCCAGUGUGGAGCCCAAUGUAGGGCUUGAACUUACUACUCUGAGACCAAGUCCUGAGGUAAGAUCAACAGUUGGAUGCUUAACCCACUGAACCAUGUCCCUGCCCUUAUUUUUAACUUUACCUGUUGCAUUUAAGAGGUCAAGAAGAAAUGACCGUUUGUCUACUUCUUCCACCCAAACUACUUUCUGUGUGAUGUUCUCAGAGGUAGAGCCAACUCUCCCUACAGCCAGAAAGAUAUAUUCAUCCAAAAAAUCACGAGCAAGCAUCUGCAAAAGGGGGAAAAAAAACUUUUUAUACUCUACUUAAAAAUGUAAAAUUAUCUUGAAAAUACUUACUUGCAAAUGCUCUAAAAAUUUUUACCAGACAAUACCUGUAUUUCCUUAGGGAAAGUAGCACUAAACAUCAUAGUGUGGCGAAUACCCUUUGGUGGCAUGGUAUCUUGUUCAACUAUACGACGUAUCUGAGGUUCAAAUCCCAUAUCCAGCAUCCUAUCUGCUUCAUCCAAUACUAAGUAUCUAUUAUGAAAAGUACUCAUUUUAGAAUUUGAUGAGAACUGACCACUGAACGUACAAAUAUAAUAUUCAUUCUAAUAUUGGCCUCACAAUUUAACACUUGUGAAACCCAUACAUCCUGUAAUAUUUAACUCUGUCCCAAUGAAUCGUACAGGUAAAACUGAUUUUCAAAAACUAUGUUAAAAGUUUAAUCACUAAAAUUACGUUUUAAUGUUAAAACAGUAUUUCUGAAACACUACAAAAUGACCAUCAGUGUAAAAGAAGUCACAUUUCAUACAUAAUACAUACUUGCAGAAGUCUAAUCCAAUCUUUCCUCUUUCCAUCAUAUCCACCAGACGUCCUGGAGUGGCAACUAACAAAUGACAUCCACGUUCUAAAUCUCGAAUCUGCUGACCAAUAUCA
This is a long non-coding RNA of Neofelis nebulosa (Clouded leopard), 1084 nucleotides long. RefSeq lists it as uncharacterized. The transcript is spliced from 2 exons. The record is from RefSeq and is a predicted model, not a curated record. Lineage: Eukaryota; Metazoa; Chordata; Mammalia; Carnivora; Felidae.